RNAcentral lists this long non-coding RNA (1061 nucleotides) under Fukomys damarensis (Damara mole-rat). Its description in RNAcentral is "lncRNA (ENSFDAG00000028083.1)". Lineage: Eukaryota; Metazoa; Chordata; Mammalia; Rodentia; Bathyergidae. The record is from RNAcentral.
CCCAAGGCUGGCAGGAACUGGGUUUGCCCUCUCCUCGGAAUUCAUCCACAUCACGGCUGUCCCCUGGAUUUAACCACAACUCGACCCCUUCCGUGGGGUUCCCGCCUCCUUCUGCAGCCCAGUGAGCAGCCUUGGCGACUCCAGUGCACACAGAAAUGCUCCCCAGGAGCUCCCACAUCCCAGCCGUUUUCCCUGCAGUUCACCUGCAGGACCUCGGGUAUCGAGCUGGACAGUGAGCACCUCCCUGUCGCGCUGCCCUGCACUGCUCCUCGCCAAGAUUACUGCACACUUUGGGGUGCUUGAGGUCACUGGUUCUGCCCCUUAUUAGCGGGCAGCAUUUGCAGCAGAGUCUCCGCUCCUCCCCUUACGCACUUCCUGGUGGCCGGCCCUGCUCCUCUCCCCAGCUCCCCCUGUGUAUGGCUCUGCCUGGGAGGGACACUGGAGCCCGGGCUGGAGAACCCACUGGGGACUCCUGCCCCAGCCCUCUUGGGGCCCCACCUUGCUCCCACUCACCAGCGAGUGGGCCGGGCCUGCCCCAAGCACAUCUGCCUCUGGCCAGGCCCCUCCCUGUCCCCUGGCUGUUCUGCUUUCUGCUGGUCUCCCCAACUCAGGCCGCCCCAACCCCACCCUCCUUGUGCAGCUUCUGCCUGUGUGUCCUGGUCCCUUUGUCAUCUGAGAGCCGUGGGGACAAACUGAUGACGGUUACCUUCAAACAGAGCUCCCCUGUGUCUGUGUUGCUGGCGGGGUCUUCCACAUCUCUCACUUUGGGAUUUGGAGAGAUUGGAACCAAGUGGCUGACCCCAGCACCUCCUCCAGACCUGAGUCACAGCCCAGAGGUGUGGGGGCAGAAGCACCAGAAGACAUCCAGGUCCCCCCACCCUUGUGACCAGUGCCGUGAAACCCUCUGAGCGCCUCUUGGUCCAUCCCUCAGCUCAGGCAGAGCCAUCUCCGCACACCCGGCCUCCCACUGCCGUGUCAUCGGUGACUGACGCCCAGAUCCCUUCUCUGCUCUUUGCCCUGCUCCCCGUCUCAGGCUGGAAUGAUUCUGACCUGCACCCUCU